GGAAGUUGAAAUUCUCCGGCAGCGCCAAAACAAAAAGGGUUUAAUUUGUUACACGCGUUUAAUUUGUGAAGUUUAAAGACGCCACUUUUAACUUUGUUUUGACACCGUCAGCCGGAAAGUCAUGGUGACAUCUACAGACUCUUGAGGACCGCCUCCUGUCUUCUCAGCACAGACAUCUCCAGGUCCAUUCUGUCCUGCAAGGUGCUGCCGUGCGGCGCGGGUGCAGACGGCGAGCAGGGGGAGCGGGACUGUUCUCCGGACGCCGCAGGGUAAUGAGCGCUGAACUGUACGCCGAGUGACUUGGGGACGGUGGAAUAAGAUGUUGUUUUGUGUCCCGGCGGAUCUGAAGCGUAGCCUGGGAGGACAGGAUCGGCCUGCUCGUGUUUACUUUCAAGAUGUUCUCCUGUGGGGAACGUUCCAUCUUUAUCGCCACUAAAAAGGACAGAAAAACAUAUUGGUUGCAAAAUUCCACAUGAGUAUUUUAAUUGUUGUUGCAUGAUAGGUAAGCACAAAAUAACAUUAUAUCGUAAAUUUUACUUUUAUUCUAAGCUUUGAAACCUCCGACUUACCAACCCUGUUUCCAUAUGAGUUGGGGAAUUGUGUUAGAUGUAAAUAUAAACAGAAUACAAAGAUUUGCAAAUCCUUUUCAACCCAAAUUCAAUUGGAUGAACUACAAAGACAAGAUAUUUGAUGUUCAAAUUCAUAAACUUUAUAUAUUUUUUUGCAAAUAAUAAAUAACUUAGAAUUUCAUAACUGCAACACAUGCCAAAGUAGUUGGGAAAGGGCAUGUUCACCACUGUGUUACAUCACCUUUUCUUUUAACAACACUCAAUAAACGUUUGGGAACUGAGGAAACUAAUUGUUGAAGCUUUGAAAGUGGAAUUCUUUCCCAUUCUUGUUUUAUGUAGAGCUUCAGUCGUUCAACAGUCCGGGGUCUCCGCUGUCCUAUUUUACGCUUCAUAAUGCGCCACACAUUUUCCAUGGGAGACAGGUCAGGACUGCAGGCGGGCCAGGAAAGUACCCGCACUCUUUUACUAUGAAACCAUGCUGUUGUAACAUGUAGCUUGGCAUUGUCUUGCUGAAAUAAGCAGGGGCGUCCACGAAGAAGACGGCGCUUAGAUGGCAGCAUAUGUUGUUCCAAAAGCUGUAUGUACCUUUCAGCAAUAAUGGUGCCUUCACAGAUGUGUAAGUUACCCAUGCCUUGGGCACUAAUGCACCCCCAUACCAUCACAGAUGCAGGCUUUUGAACUCUGCCUCGAUAACAGUCUGGAUGGUUCGCUUCCCCUUUGGUCCGGAUGACACAUUGUCGAAUAUUUCCCAAAAGAAUUUGAAAUGUGGACUCGUCAGACCACAGAGCACAUUUCAACUUUGCAUCAGUCCAUCUUAGAUGUACUUAGGCCUAGAGAAGCCGGCGGCGUUUCUGGAUGUUGUUGAUAAAUUGCUUUCGCUUUGCAUAGUAGAGCUUUAACUUGCACUUACAGAUGUAGCGACCAACUGUAUUUAGUGACAGUGGUUUUCUGAAGUGUUCCUGAGCCCAUGUGGUGAUAUCCUUUAGAGAUUGAUGUCGGUUUUUGAUAUAGUGCUGUCUAAGGGAUCGAAGGUCACGGUCAUUCAAUGUUGGUUUCUGGCCAUGCCGCUUACGUGGAGUGAUUUUUCCAGAUUCUCUGAACCUUUUGAUGAUAUUAUGGAGCGUAGAUGUUGAAAUCCCUAAAUGUCUUGCAAUUGCACUUUGAGAAACGUUGUUCUUAAACUGUUUGACUAUUUGCUCACACAGUUGUGGACAAAGGGGUGUACCUCGCCCCAUCCUUUCUUGUGAAAGACUGAGCAUUUUUUGGGGAAGCUGUUUUUAUACCCAAUCAUGGCACCCACCUGUUCCCAAUUAGCCUGCACACCUGUGGGAUGUUCCAAAUAAGUGUUUGAUGAGCAUUCCUUAACUUUAUCGGUAUUUAUUGCCACCUUUCCCAACUUCUUUGUCACGUGUUGCUGGCAUCAAAUUCUAAAGUUAAUGAUUAUUUUGCACAAAAAAAAAAAGUUUAUCAGUUUGAACAUCAAAUAUGGAUUUUUUGUAGCAUAUUCAACUGAAUAUGGGUUGAAAAUGAUUAAAUAUUAAAUACAGUUGUUAAUUCAAAUUAAUACUUGGGCCUACUGCGCUACUGUAUUUCAAUGUUGGAUAUGUUGAGAACUAAGUUUUUUCUAAGGUGUUACCGCUGGGUUUUGGGGCAUUUGCAGCAUUUUGUGCGUGUUUGUGGCGCUUGGACAAGUCUACUAACAAACAUGUAUCACCUGUUGUGUUGACUUUCAAUGAUAUCAAACGGCGUGGAGUCGUCUUCGUCUUGUUGGAGCGCCGCAGGGUUCAUGACGGAGAUGGCUAUUUGGGUCAGGGCGCUCAACUGAUCCAGAGACACGUCAUCAUCUUGGAAGCAUCCGACGGUCAGGGGUGGCCGGUGGGAGGAGGCAAGAGAGUCCGCAGCUGCGUCUUUGACAGGUGCAGGAGGAACGACGCAA
Molecule: long non-coding RNA, 2505 nt
Organism: Nerophis ophidion (straightnose pipefish)
Lineage: Eukaryota; Metazoa; Chordata; Actinopteri; Syngnathiformes; Syngnathidae
Exons: 3
Source: RefSeq, a predicted model, not a curated record